Branchiostoma floridae (Florida lancelet) is the source of this 1293-nucleotide long non-coding RNA. RefSeq lists it as uncharacterized. The transcript has 4 exons. The record is from RefSeq and is a predicted model, not a curated record. NCBI's taxonomy places the organism in Eukaryota, Metazoa, Chordata, Leptocardii, Amphioxiformes, Branchiostomatidae.
GGCACUUAACGCGACUUUCCCUAACGGUGGAGUGACGCCCACCGAGCCCCAUCAGGUCACCUGUCAAUAGUGUGCAAAAAACACACACGGAAUCGGCAAUGUCCACAUGUACGUGCCAACAUUUACCAGUGAGAACCGUAAAUUUAUUUUUUUAUCAUUUAUUGUGUUGUGACUCUGAACCAGCUAUGUUUUUCCUGUAUGGAAUGAUGAACGGUAUCAGAAAUGUACUCAGAUACAUAUCAGGUGACAAGUAAAAGUCAGCUGUCAGCAACAAUGUCGUUUGGUAGUUAGACGCCUUUCCAGUCAUGACUUAUGUUAUCAAGCAUGUCAUGGAGUUGUUUAACUUGUCACGGUUGAAGUUUCGCUACGUACGUUGACUUGCUGUCAACGGCGCACAAUACAACGCAACAUGCCUCACUAGUCACUGCGUUUCCACAAUGUAGAUGAAAAAUCAACAGUAUCAAAUGUAGCUUCAACGUGCGGAAGAAAGACUUCCUUGUCGACAUAUGUACAGGUGUAACAAAGUCCCUUCCUCACCUUCAAGGAAGCAUUAUAAGGAAAUAUGGCGCCGUGCCUGGCUGUCGUCGUAACGUUCCUUGUGACGUUUGUGUUCCUGUGCUCUGGCCAGUCGGUCUGCAAGCCGCCUACAGAGGAGAAAUGCACGUGUAACCAGGUAGAGAACGAUGGGCUGAAGUCUGAAUUGGAUCGCCUGAAAAUCGUUGUGGAGCAAAUUUUUCAGAAGACCGAGUAUCGACCCUUGAGGAACAACUGGCUCAGGAGCGAAACAGGGUGAAUAGUAUCCAGGACGACCUCACGCAUGUGCAGAAUGCCACGACCCAGAAUGUUGAGUUAGCGGGAAAACAAAAACCGACCUGUGCAGCGCAAUACCGACACUGGGACGAGUCUUUCAAGCACAGUCACCAGCUGGUAACUAUAAGUAUGACUUGGAUGAAGCAAAGCACGCAUGCGCAGAACAGGGUGCUAGCCUCGCCUCCUAUUACCAGCUGGCCGAGGCCUUUCAUGGCGGACUGGAGCUCUGCGCAUGCGGGUGGCUGUCGGACGGGACCGCCAAGUAUCCAAUGCAAGAAGACAGAGGUCCUCACUGUGGCGGCGGGCGUGGCAUCUUCACCUGUUCACACUCAAGUACUUAUAACGCCUGGUGCGUCCGUCAGCUCAGAAUCUGUGACUGAACAGCACAACAGGAAGGCGAUAUAACAGACUUACGGAAGGCACAUGUGAUCCUGUUUCAUCGAUCUAUACGAAACUAUAUACAUAGAUAGAAAUAUAUAGAUA